AACGGGGAUUGCCUCAGUAACGGCGAGUGAAGCGGCAACAGCUCAAAUUUGAAAUCUGGCGCCCCUGGCGCCCGAGUUGUAAUUUGCAGAGGAUGCCUCGGUGCGAGGCCGCGCCCAAGUCCCUUGGAACAGGGCGCCUCAGAGGGUGAGAGUCCCGUUGGGCCGCGGCCGACCUCCGUGUGAGGCUCCUUCGACGAGUCGAGUUGUUUGGGAAUGCAGCUCUAAGCGGGAGGUAAAUUUCUCCUAAGGCUAAAUACCGGCCAGAGACCGAUAGCGCACAAGUAGAGUGAUCGAAAGAUGAAAAGCACUUUGGAAAGAGAGUUAAAAAGCACGUGAAAUUGUUGAAAGGGAAGCGCUUGCGGCCAGACUUGCCGCGGCGGUUCGGCCGGGUGCUCCACCCGGCUUACUCCGCCGCGUCGGGCCAGCAUCAGCUUGGGCGGUCGGACAAAGGCCUGGGGAACGUAGCUCCCUCCGGGGAGUGUUAUAGCCCCUCGCGCAAUGCGGCCUGCCCGGGCUGAGGCUCGCGUUCUGCUAGGAUGCUGGCGUAAUGGCCGCAAGCGGCCCGUCUUGAAACACGGACCAAGGAGUCUACCAUCUGUGCGAGUGUUUGGGUGUCAAACCCGUGCGCGUAAUGAAAGUGAACGGAGGCGGGAGCCCCCGGGCGCACCGUCGACCGAUCCUGAUGUCUUCGGAUGGAUUUGAGUAAGAGCACAGCUGGUGGGACCCGAAAGAUGGUGAACUAUGCGUAAACAGGGCGAAGCCAGAGGAAACUCUGGUGGAGGCUCGCAGCGGUUCUGACGUGCAAAUCGAUCGUCAAAUUCGCGCAUAGGGGCGAAAGACUAAUCGAA
This 848-nucleotide ribosomal RNA is filed under the name Strigula multiformis. RNAcentral describes it as "partial large subunit ribosomal RNA". It matches the Rfam family "Eukaryotic large subunit ribosomal RNA", at positions 67 to 939 of the family's 3401-position model. Lineage: Eukaryota; Fungi; Ascomycota; Dothideomycetes; Strigulales; Strigulaceae. The record is from RNAcentral.